This 465-nucleotide ribosomal RNA is filed under the name uncultured bacterium. RNAcentral describes it as "partial 16S ribosomal RNA". It matches the Rfam family "Bacterial small subunit ribosomal RNA", at positions 338 to 795 of the family's 1533-position model. The record is from RNAcentral.
CCUACGGGCGGCAGCAGUGGGGAAUAUUGCGCAAUGGGCGAAAGCCUGACGCAGCGACGCCGCGUGAGGGAUGAAGGUCUUCGGAUCGUAAACCUCUGUCAGCAGGGAAGAACGGUCACUGUGCUAAUCAGCAGUGAAUUGACGGUACCUGCAAAGGAAGCACCGGCUAACUCCGUGCCAGCAGCCGCGGUAAUACGGAGGGUGCGUGCGUUAAUCGGAAUUACUGGGCGUAAAGCGCUCGUAGGCGGUAUGUCAAGUCAAGGGUGAAAUCCCCGCGCUCAACGUGGGAACUGCCUUUGAAACUGGCAAACUUGAGUGUGUGAGAGGAUAGGGGAAUGCCAGGUGCAGGAGUGAAAUCCGUAGAUAUCUGGCGGAACAUCAGUGGCGAAGGCGACUAUCUGGCACAUAACUGACGCUGAGGAGCGAAAGCGUGGGUAGCAAACAGGAUUAGAUACCCUUGUAGUC